This 274-nucleotide ribosomal RNA is filed under the name uncultured bacterium. RNAcentral's name for it is "partial 16S ribosomal RNA". It matches the Rfam family "Bacterial small subunit ribosomal RNA", at positions 523 to 796 of the family's 1533-position model. The record is from RNAcentral.
AUACGGAGGGUGCAAGCGUUACUCGGAAUCACUGGGCGUAAAGCGCGCGCAGGCGGCUAUUUAAGUUGGAUGUGAAAACCUACGGCUCAACCGUAGAACUGCAUCCAAAACUAUUUAGCUAGAGUGUGGGAGAGGAAGAUGGAAUUAGUUGUGUAGGGGUAAAAUCCGUAGAGAUAACUAGGAAUACCAAAAGCGAAGGCAAUCUUCUGGAACACUACUGACGCUGAGGCGCGAAAGCGUGGGGAGCAAACAGGAUUAGAAACCCUAGUAGUCC